RNAcentral lists this ribosomal RNA (376 nucleotides) under Metaphire californica. RNAcentral describes it as "partial 16S ribosomal RNA". It matches the Rfam family "Bacterial large subunit ribosomal RNA", at positions 1926 to 2541 of the family's 2925-position model. The record is from RNAcentral. Lineage: Eukaryota; Metazoa; Annelida; Clitellata; Crassiclitellata; Megascolecidae.
AACGGCCGCGGUAUCCUAACCGUGCAAAGGUAGCAUAAUCACUUGCCUAUUAAUUGUAGGCUAGAAUGAAAGGGUUAACGAAAUAAAGACUGUCUCAGUUAGCCAGCUAAAAAUUAAUAUCUAUCUGAAGAAGGGUAGAUACACUCGAAGGACAAGAAGACCCUAUAGAGCUUAAUUUUACUUAUAGAACCUCACUAUAAAAAUAUUCGGUUGGGGCGACCCCGGGUAAAAUAAUCACCCAAAUUAUAAAAGAUACAUUAAUCAAACAACUGACCCUUAAAAGAUCAUAAAAACAAGCUACCUUAGGGAUAACAGGCUAAUCCCACUCAAGAGUCCUUAUCAACAGUGGGGUUUGGCACCUCGAUGUUGGCUUAGG